GAGUUAACUUUGGAGUGACGUCAGACAGCGCGAAUAUAAAUUAUAGUUAUGGGCGCUCAACUCAAGACUUCGAGAUUCACGAGAGACUUGUCUACGGAUCCUCCACUGUCUGGGGAUUGCAGCACCCACACCUGCACAUAAGCUGCUGAUGGAGUCGUCUGGACCGUUAUUUGAAGAGUGCAGCACUAUGAAGCUAUGAGCCCUACCUGAGAAGCUGCAAGUAAAAUUGACAUUAUGAGGGAAAGAUUGCUGAAGAGUACAAUUAUCAGUUAUAGCUUUCGACUUUCUGAGAGUUGCUGUUUUUGAUAGUUUUGUCCAGAACAGCUGGAGACAACCUCUUUGAGAUGGAAGCAUGGAGCAAUUCUCAUUCUCUGAAAAAGUGAGGUAUUUCAAAGUUUUGACCUAGAUAUAUGAUCAAAAAUCCACUGUCAAAGAAUUUUUGUUACAUCACUCACAGCUUUGCACCCAAUAUUUCAGACUGAGGAAAUUACUCAAAAAGUUACAGCAAAUUAAAGAUUGGUAUCUUCUUUUAUCUUGGAGUCUUUUGCAUGGAUUUACAGGAAGGAGCAGGGGUGUUUGUGGAAAGGAGGAUUUUCCUCAUUUCAUCAUUACCAUGGGGUAUCUGACUCAACCCGACCUAUGAGACUUGUUAAGGGUUGCCAGUUUUCUACCAGGUGUAUUGGUCGCUACUUCCGUAAAAAGGUUGUGUCUGUCAGAAGUGAAGGGACAUUUAAGCACUUUUCAGCCCCAUUCUUGUGGUAAGCCCCCGCCUUUUCUCGGUGGCCAAGUCCCAGGUUAGGAAUUCAAUGCAUCCUGGUGUCUGCUUCUGGUGGCUUCAAAAGACUUGGUUCUACAUUUUAGCUGUCCUGCCCAAAUGAAUAAGCCUGUGGGAAUCUUCCUCUGCUCUACAAGAUUUGUUUUCUAAAUACAUUUUUCAUCACUCCAUUAUCAUAGUGUUGCAUGUAAUUACAUGUAAAACCUGACAAAAUUGGUGUACUGCUAGAGAGUCAAAUGUCGUCAGAAACCCAUGGUUGAUUACGCAUCGCUCUUCUCAACAUCCCCUGUGGUUCCCAUUAAACAUCGAUGCAUCAGCUUAAUAUUCGAUGGAUCCAUGUUGACAUGGGGAUGUAAAAUAUAUGGAUAUAAUAAGUGGCCUUGAGUCCCCCACCCCUCAAGGCUAACCCAGAUAAUGGAAUUAUAUAAAGUAAAUUAUUCUUGGGCUUCCUUGGACUUUCAGACGAAAUUUUAAAAAAUGGAAAAAGACUCAUCUGGAAAUUCCAGUACCGGUAAAAUGAAGCCUUGCACAGUGAUCGGACUGGACAUCCAUACUUUAUGGCACAUUGCUACAUGCGCAUGCGUACCAAGCUAUUUCCUUUUCGGAAUCGACCAUAAACGUUGAAAAGCCAGUCGAGACAAAGGUACCGGCCACCACUGCUAGUGGGUAUGGGGUGAUGAGGGUGAGAUGGCCAGAGGAGGGAACCAAGUUUGAGCUAUUUUACCAGGUUGCUCUAGGGCACAGAUGGCAUCUUGUCACAGUUUCAGAGUGGACCAGGGGGUCAGCCAUAAAAAAGCUCUGUGUCAACUGAGCCCGCCUUGUCCUGGAGACAUGUACAUGAUCAUGAGAUUAACCAGAUGAGGAUCCACAGUAAAGCACAGGGGAUUUGUUGCGGGGCCCAUCCUUCUGUGUAAUUAUGUAGUUUAUAUGUUGCAACAAUUCAAUUAAUACUUAAUUUGAAUAACUAUGCUAAGAAUUCUUAAUCAUUUUGCCUCAGGCUCUUGCCUCAGAGAGCAUAUAAUGAUGUUUUUCUGGUACUUAUUAAUCUUCCUCUUGAUGUUUUUUAUAAAGUUUAUACAUUUUUUUAAUGCUUAAUAACUUUUUUUUGUUUUGUACGAAUGUGACUUUUGAUACUUUUUACUAGUUUGAAUUUCUUGUAGAGACUCAAUGCCUACUGAGCCUCCACUAGGGAUGGUACAGUUACAACCCACACCUACACAUAAGCUGCGGAUGGAGUCGCCUGGACCAUUAUUUGAAGAGUGCAGCUCUAUGAGCCCUAACUGAGAUUUCGCGAGUAAAGAUUUCCUGAUACUUUCCGACAAAAGUCAUGUAUCCAGGUAAUGCGAUGGCUCGACCUUGUAAAGCUCAUCCUUGAAGAAGGAGCCUGCAGCCUGACCAGUUGAGCUAUCCGGAUCAUUGGUUACUGCCUUAACUUCAAUGUCGCAGUGGUGUGCAAUUACAAAAUUUGGCCACUAGCCCAGGGGCUUGUAGGAGUAACAGAGUUACUAGCCCAAGAUCCAAAGUUACUAGCCAGACAAUUGUCGGACAUGUCGACACUUCAUUUUAAAAAAGGUUUUUUUUUAGGUUACAGAAAGUGACUUACUGCUCCAAGUUUUGGUCUUGAUGAUUUUGCUAUUUCACUUUGAUGGGCACCCUGCCUUGGUCUUAAGAUAUGGUAGUUCCCCAGCUGCAGGCUGUUUCCUCUCUCUCGGAUGCAGACAGGGGGUUUUCGACCAGUUCCGUCAAUUUGGAGGACAACUUUUUGUAUCUACAUGUCAUCAAAAAGCAGUAAAUUCAUCUCAGAUCUCACUGUCAGUCCACUCUCAUCACUGAGGAAGAGAGCCCCAUACUCAGAUGAGCACAGCAUAAUGGGGUCCACUACAUGCAUUGAAAUAUAACAGGGAAGUGUGCAUGUUGGUUUAUAGCUCAUGAAAGAUUUUCUUUUCAUUCGAUAUGGCCAAGUUAAUAUUGAAGAAUAUGUUAAUCAUGUUGAAGCCAAUUCUUACAUAGCUUACUAUAAUGGAAUACCUUUGUGGAAAUUGUCUAAUGUAUCCAGCUGGACUACAGCAAAGUGUCUUAACACCCCACUGGAUGGGUAUUACUUAUUUCCUGUACCCCCAAGAAAGACCAAGGGGAUGGAUUUGAUAAAGAGUGACCUACGGUACUCUUGAAUUACAUGGAAUACUAAAAAAAUCAUUCUUGGAUAUAUUUGAGUUGGAAAUGAAGGAAUGCAGAGCAACACGGACCUCCAAAAAGAUAAGGAUAGGAUCAGGUGCCUAGGAGGAGUGAGCAUCCUCUGCUGACCUGUCGCACCCCCCACAUGCUCCUUGUCCCAAUAGACAUAAUCGAGAAUGGAGAAUAGCAAUGGAAUAAGCAUAGUGGGAGAAAAAAAUGGUACAACUGGCCAAGGAUACGAUGUCACAGAAAUAACCCCAGUGGUUAUGAAUGUGGCUAUCCAGCUGUCGCCACAGUGGUUGUGGUGGGGAUGCCAACUUCUUCUUUUUCUGUUUAAGAAGAUGAUUGGCUAGGGACCUAAGAGGCUGACCGGAUGCUAAAACAAUACAGUCCACUUCAUCAUCUUCAAACUUAUUGACUUUACGCAACUUAUGCUUAUAACUUUUGGACACAGAAAUUCUUUGUAAUCUGUUGAAUUACCGGUAUUGCAUGUGCAUGGUCAAUGGCAACUAAAAUGUGUAAGGUCAGGUUUUUAUCAAUUUUAUUGUUGAAUUCAAAAGAAUGUCAAAAAACCGAGGUGACCAAUACCUACUUAUUUUAAAUAAGAUCUUUGGAUUUCGACAUUUUGUAUAGAAUGCAGUUGGUUUUCAUCAUUUUCAAGUCAUAAUGCUCAAAACAGAGAUGAAUUUCUCUUCUGCUGUAUAUUUUAGGUUAUAUCAUUUAAGAUUUAAUAAUCUUAUGAAGUUUAGCACUAUAAUCUAAACAGUUUAUAGUUUGCUCUUAAUUUAUUUAAACAAAUAUAAAAAGGGUCAAUGAGAGAUACAAUGCUUUUUCAAUCACCUGACCUACCCCUCCCUCUCUCUCUCUCUCUCUCUCUCUCUCUCUCUCUCUCCUCUCUCUCUCCAUGUAUGUACAUCCAGAAAAUUUUUCUGCAUGUUGUAAAGGACAGACUUUGAAGUUUAAUUAAAUUUGCAUGCAAGAUAGUUUGAUAACAUAUCAUCAUGUUCUGUAAUAUUGUAAAAUUACUGAACUGUUCUUUUUCUUAGUAUGAAAAUUGUAAAAAGCUACAAGUUGUUAAAUACAUGUAGCUUACUGGUAAAUGUCAUAUACAGUAAUACACGGUUAUAAUGAAGCGCCAAGGAUAGGUGAUUUCGCUUCUUUAUAAGCGUAAUUUAUUAUAUCCGUCAAGUUUACACAAUGUGAUAUAGUCACAGGGAAUGAAAAUCACUUCGCUGUAAGCGUCAAUUCAUUAUAAGCGUGUUCUCUUUAACGGUGUUUUACUGUACUGGUACUGGAACAUAUGUAUUGUAAAACUUAUGAAUUUUUCUUUGUUUAAAUAUUGAAAAAAUACCAAAGUGACUACUUUCCAACUUCUAGCCUAAGGGUCUCUCAGACAAAACUUGUCUCUGAAUUAUUGCUGGAAAAAACCCAAGAAGGGCCAAUUGCUAGCUAAAUUAGUAAUAGUGCCAUUGUGUUGAGUAAACUUUAUGUGAAACCUAGACCUGCAGUGUUUUGUUAAUUAAACAUAGAUAAUUAUACGUACUGUAUUUACAUUCUGUAUAUAGUAUCUGGUAUGAAUACAAACCUGAAAAGAGACGCCAUUAAUCUGAGUCAGUACAAUGUACUGUAUAUGUACUUAAAUUGAUUUAGCAGAAAUUAUAAAUUAAUGCAUUUCAUGUUAAUUCCUCUUUGAAGUAAUUCAAAUUCUAAUUAACAUAUGAUUUAAUCAAAUGUACCGGUAUAAAGAAAAUUAGAUUCAUAUGCAUUAACUUGUGAUUAUGUGAUAAUCCUUUUCAGGAAGUUGAUAGAAACUGCUAUUUUAUGAACAUUAACAGUACCUGUUAUCUGAAUUUGUAGUUUAGUUAAUCAUUGUGAAGUUGCGCUUGUUGUUCUUGAAAAUUGUGAUAUAUUUUACAAGAUAGGGGAAGCAAUCGUGCUAAAAAUUCAAGAAAAAAACCUUAAGGAAGCUUGUUUGUCAACAAAUUCAGAUCUGUUUUAAAAUUUUACAUCUGAUGAUACUGGCCAAAAAUUAUUCAUUGACUUGUAGUAAUUUUAAAAAAAAUAUCAAAAUAAUUUUUGAAUAAAAUUUGAAUAUUUUUCAUUUUCUUUAUAGUUUACGGAGCUCUUUAUCGAAGAGAAGAUUGAUAUAGCCUAUAAAUUGCCAUUGUCAUGCAACCAUCUUAAUUUUGUAUCAACUCUUUGUCAAGUUGGAGCUAGAUUAUCUAUGGUUUUCACAGAUCCCUCAUUAUUUGUGAUUGUUACUAAAAGAUAGCUUUCUGGUUGUAAUUGGAGUGGAUUUGAUUGAUUGUAAAUUAACUGGAAUAAAUGAUGUUUUCUGUA
Magallana angulata is the source of this 5290-nucleotide long non-coding RNA. RefSeq lists it as uncharacterized. Lineage: Eukaryota; Metazoa; Mollusca; Bivalvia; Ostreida; Ostreidae. The transcript has 14 exons. The record is from RefSeq and is a predicted model, not a curated record.